GCUGCGCCUUCGCCGCCGCCGCCGCAACCUCCAGCACCGCCGCCCCAGGCCCCGCAGCCGCCGCGUCGCCGCCAUUUUUUAAAGGGUCCGCAGCCUGACUCUGCGGAGUAAGGGGGGGUGGAGCGGGGGAGUCGGCCUCGCCAGCGCGCAUGCGCGAGGCCCGAGCCGCCGCUUGGGUCACAGUGAAAGCCACCGUUGCCCGGGGAUGGGUCCCUGACACUUGGGGAAGUAGGAGCCCUGUGUGAUCGUGCGUCUGAGUCUGGGCUGAGACCAGUCCUGGCCAGGGCAGUUACCAGGACGGUCUCCGGAGGCCGGGAUUCGCGGAGGGUCCAGCAGCAGGAAGAAACCCCAGGAGGAAGAAACCUCAGACAGAUCGCCGGCGAGGCAGCGCGGGAUCCCAGCCUCAGGCGUGCGCGGACGGUGUGCGGCGCACACAACCAAGCUUAGGAGCCGACUGUUAAGAUGCCCCAGUGACACGGACAAGUUUCUCCUCUGCAACCCAAUGAGAGCUGCUGACCACGAGAGCAUCGCGGGACCGCCAAAGGAUUCUGGAAAAUGUGGUCCCGGGUGGCCAGUGUGCGCUGACCUUCACCUGAAGGUACGGCUUGAAGGAAACUUCUGGAGGGUGGGGUGGUGUUGAAGAGAAGGCACAAUUGUCACCAUUUUGUUCAACAUGGGCGUUUUCUUUGUGCAUUGAUUUGCAUUUUUAAAGGAACUCCUCCUCAAAACAGAAGAAGCCUAUAGGAUUUUAACCUGGAAACUACUCAGGGAAUCUGGAAUAUUCCUUCCAGGGAUAUCUGCAGCUGAAACCUGGCAGUAAUUUAAACAAAACCAGACAACUCU
This 843-nucleotide long non-coding RNA is filed under the name Homo sapiens (human). RNAcentral describes it as "HSALNT0259097". The record is from RNAcentral. Lineage: Eukaryota; Metazoa; Chordata; Mammalia; Primates; Hominidae.